GGCCAGCUCCAAAUUUUAGCAAAAUACUCUCCAUUUCCAAACUACAAGUACACGCUGGCAGACUCACGGAAAAUCAUGCCGUUAGAAUAGCUCAUAGAUUUAGUGAUAGACCCAAAACCAUUCUUCUCCAUCACUCACUCACUCACUCACUCAUCGAUUUCUUUUUGCUCUCUCACCAUCUCUGCCGCCGAUUCUAACUCUGGUGUGAUCCAUUCUCCGACGAUUUCUCUCACCAUCGAUUCUACUUAUAGCUUCUGCUUAUAGAGCAUCAGUUGAUUGAUCGAUUGGAACUAAAGACAAGGAGCAUCCAUUGUGGCCGUCCCCGUUGUCUCUGUUUGUUUUUCAUGAACGGUUCGUUGGAAUGCUAGAGGUCAACCAGUUGGGAAAGAAAGCGAAGGUUUUGUCAGUUAUGUAGGAGUCAUCGUUUGUCGGAUGGUUCCAAUUAGUAUAGAAAAUUGGAGAGCUCCUAAAAUGAAACCUUACAAAGAAAAUGUUUUGGAUGAGAUACGGAAAGAUUACAUAUUUGGCGAUGAGCAUGAGAAUCAUGUAAAAAUGGAAGCUGGAAGGUUGUUUACAACAUUCAAAACCACAUUUACAAGACUUUAUAUGAGAGAUACUAAUCUUGAUGUUGUUGACAAAUCUCCUAAGGAUAAGUAUCCCCCACAUAGAACAAGAGCAUUGGGAUGCCUUUGUAGCUCAGAGUUUGACUCCUGAAUUUUCGAAAAGGAGUAAGGAAAAUUGAGAAAGAGCUUUAAAUCCCAGACAUCCAUAUGGGGUUAGCUCGUCUUGAAGAAAAUAUGGAAAGUAUGUGUAAAAUUGAAAGAAGAGGCGGAAGAAGAAACGAUAUAACGUGCGUCUGUGUGGACCGUUUCCCGUGUUGGUAAGGAUGGAGUGAUUGAUAAUGGGGAAGUUCAGAAAAUUGCGGAUAAAUGUGUAAGUCAAAUGUAGCUACUUUUUUUGGAUUCAUAUCAAAUUAUUUUGUUAAUUA
Long non-coding RNA from Medicago truncatula (barrel medic), 988 nucleotides. RefSeq lists it as uncharacterized. The transcript has 6 exons. The record is from RefSeq and is a predicted model, not a curated record. NCBI's taxonomy places the organism in Eukaryota, Viridiplantae, Streptophyta, Magnoliopsida, Fabales, Fabaceae.